AAGUCGUAACAAGGUCUCCGUAGGUGAACCUGCGGAGGGAUCAUUACUGAGUUAGGGAGCAAUCCCGAACCUCCAACCCUUUGUGAACACAUCUUGUUGCUUCAGGGGCGACCCUGCCGUUUCGACGGCAUUCCCCCGGAGGUCAUCAAAACACUGCAUUCUUACGUCGGAGUAUAAAGUUAAUUUAAUAAAA
This 193-nucleotide unclassified non-coding RNA is filed under the name plant metagenome. RNAcentral describes it as "partial contains small subunit ribosomal RNA and internal transcribed spacer 1". The stretch from base 1 to 46 matches the Rfam family "Eukaryotic small subunit ribosomal RNA", at positions 1786 to 1831 of the family's 1831-position model. The record is from RNAcentral.